RNAcentral lists this ribosomal RNA (834 nucleotides) under Triticum aestivum (bread wheat). Its description in RNAcentral is "partial small subunit ribosomal RNA". Lineage: Eukaryota; Viridiplantae; Streptophyta; Magnoliopsida; Poales; Poaceae. The record is from RNAcentral.
AUGGUGCGUUCUGAACAUCUAACUACAGAGUACAAUGGAUUCAUCAAACAGCCACGAGAAGUCAACACAUUCAGAGAAGACACAAGAGCAGGCUAUCUAAGAGGAGGUGAACUUGGUGACGGCCUUGGUCCCCUCAGAGACGGCGUGCUUGGCGAGCUCGCCGGGGAGGACGAGGCGGACGGAGGUCUGGAUCUCCCUGGACGUGAUGGUGGGCUUCUUGUUGUAGCGCGCCAGCUUGGCGGACUCGCCGGCGAGCUUCUCGAAGAUGUCGUUGAUGAAGGAGUUCAUGAUGGACAUGGCCUUGGAGGAGAUGCCGAUGUCGGGGUGCACCUGCUUCAGCACCUUGAAGAUGUAGAUCUUGUACGUCUCCACGCUCUUCUUGUUCUUCUUCUUCCCCUUCUUCUCGCCGCCCUCCUUGGACGCUGGUGGCCGCUUCUCGGCCUUGGUCUUCUUCCCCGCCGUGGUCUUCUCGGCCUUCUCCGCCACCGGCUUCUUCUCCGCCUUGGGGGCCAUGGAUGCCGUUGGUUGCUGCUACUUGGACGGGGAGAGGUGUGGUGCUGUUUGGCUGGUGAGGAAUCGGCGGCGAGGGCGCGGAGGAUUUAUUGGAGAGGAGAGGCGGGCUCUGAUUGGUGGAGGGGUGCGUGCCACGGAUCGGUGGCCUCGAUUGAUUUGAUACGAUCUCAGCCGUUCGCCGCUGUAUGCGAUGGACGGGUUGGAUGCACCUCGGCGCGGAUCGCUGACGUGGUGGGCGUGCAGAAGACAGAUUUUUUUUUUGAGGGAGUGCAGAAGACAGAUGGGUUUCAGCCACGCGCGCAUACCGAAAUAUCAACCUGA